UGCUGCAGCUCGGUGUCAGGGUCUUGGUAAUCUUCUUAAAGCCUAGGUCAUCUUUAUGUAGAGCAACAUUAUUUUUUUCACAUCCUCAGAGUUCUUUGCCUUGAGGUGCCAUGUUGAACUUCCAGUGACCAGUAUGAGGGAGUUGUCCAAAGCCCGUGGUGGUGGAAGUGCAUGGCGUUUGUGGGGGAGCAGGAGUGGAUCUAAUCACAGCCUGUGAUAUUUGUCUGUGCACACAGGAUGCCUGGUUUCAGGUGAAGGUAUGAGGAACAUUAACUUGCCAUACAUUGCUUGCUUACAUGUUUACACCAAGAUCUGUAAACAAGCUAUUUUUGUCCAUAUGAUCAUAUAUCGAGAUAGUAAGUGAUGAGAAGAUAAGAAUGGGCUGAUUGUUCUGACUCGUAUAUGCCCCUAUGAAAGAGUUGACCACAAGGGGGCACACUCUGAACAAUUAUUUACAUUUGCAGUUUGUUGAAGAUUAAAUAAACCACAGUGAGCAUCAGAUGUCUGGUUUUAAUACAAAGUGGACUAUUUUAUGAUAUUACCAUCUUGUCAUUUAUCAAAGAAGAGCUACAAAACCUGAAAUUUGUUCAUUUUUAGACAGAAAAAUUCUGCAGUGUAGCUCUUCUAGUGGGCUUUCCCACUGGAAGUUUAGUCCAACACAGAGCAGUUUGCAUGAAAAGUUGGUAAUGUGACUGUCGUAAUGUGGACUGGGAAGUGCGCUGCGGUACCGAACCCGAGACUACCUGUAGAAGGUGGUCCGAGUUCGGUUACACUGGAACUGUGAAUGCGAAUUGUCCCAUGAAUGUGAACGUAACUUGUAUCCGGGUCUGCACUUGUUCAGGAAGUAGAGUAACCUGUGCUGAAGGCCUGUUGUGGUGAUGACGUGUCAUGACACGUUUUGGCCCAAAUCUGCAGUAACUUUGAAAAAGUGGAAGCUCCUCUGAAUAUUGUGGAGUUUCUUGAUUUUGUGUUAAUUUCUGUGAUCACAAAAUGGUGAAAUUCUGGACUGACACAUGGAAGAUAUGGAAUGAUAACAGAAGAAUGUGACUUUGGGUUGUACCGUGUAUUUUUUUCAUGUAGCUUUAUUAUUUAGUAUAAAUGAAGGAAAGUGUGUGUUCUGUUCAUCUCUGCAGUCGUGUGUUCCCUGAUAGUCAAUGAUUGCUGGAGCUCUGGAAAUAGCAGGUGAGAUUGCAGGCCAGAGUCGCGUCGCUGUCCAAGGAACCAAAAUCAACCUCCUCUACUCCUGAGACCACAGUGUGACUGAGAGCCUAGACUACAUGGCUACUUGGAACAUGAACAUGUUGCAGACACAGGAUCUUAUGAAGUCAGCGCAGGCAGCCCUGGAAAAGAAGAGUCCGAAAGACGUGCCCUUCUCCAAGCUUUAAAGGAGAAGAUCCAGGGCUGUUGAAGCUGCGGUGGAACUGAGACUUCAUCAUCCCCAUAUCUUUAGUUUUUCUUGCUAAGUCUGUUUCUUUUUAGUCUUUUUAUUUUUAGACUGGUCAAAAGACUGAUUAGUGGAAGUGAAAUGAUGGAUGAACUUUUAAUUACUUGCUUUAUUAUUUGCAGGUGCCUUGUACAGUAAGACAGGGUAACUAAUACUCAAAAGCUUGUUUUGUGUGUUAACAUGUACAGUAGAUGUACAUAUUUUUUCUGGUCCUGUGUGACUGCAGAAUGUAGUGCAGUUAACACAGUAAAUUUCCUUGGAUGCUCACUUUUAACUCGAGGAGGUCACAGUUUGCCCAGACAUCUUUUUUUAAAUCCAUCACCCACACGUCAUUCUGGGGGACGAAGAGGAGGAAGCUGGACAGAUAAAUUUAUUUAUUUAUUUAUCAUUGCUGUGUUUCCUCAAUCGAGUGCAGAAAGAAGAAAAACAACACAACUGAUUUAAAAUAAAAAUAUAGAAAACAAUCUAAUGUAAGGUUCUGAUCCGGUUUGCUUUCAGCAGGAAGGCUGUCCUCUUUCCUGUUGUUCUUUCUCUUCUAUUAGUCCAUUUGUCCAGUCUGAAUCGGUUUGAUUCGUUUCGAGACGAUUCGGAGUCAAAUAAUUUUCUAGUGAGAGUCGCACACUUCCAAACGAACUAGACUGAGAUGAGUAUUUGAUUCUCACUAGAAAGUGAUUCGACUCUGAAUCAACUCGAAAUGAAUCAGUCAAACUGAUUCAGACUCUAUAAAAG
Molecule: long non-coding RNA, 2173 nt
Organism: Ictalurus punctatus (channel catfish)
Lineage: Eukaryota; Metazoa; Chordata; Actinopteri; Siluriformes; Ictaluridae
Source: Ensembl